RNAcentral lists this ribosomal RNA (253 nucleotides) under uncultured bacterium. Its description in RNAcentral is "partial 16S ribosomal RNA". It matches the Rfam family "Bacterial small subunit ribosomal RNA", at positions 524 to 776 of the family's 1533-position model. The record is from RNAcentral.
UACAGAGGGGGCAAGCGUUGUUCGGAAUUACUGGGCGUAAAGGGCGCGUAGGCGGCCUGUUAAGUCGAACGUGAAAUCCCCGGGCUCAACCCGGGAACUGCGUCCGAUACUGGCAGGCUUGAAUCCGGGAGAGGGAUGUGGAAUUCCAGGUGUAGCGGUGAAAUUCGUAGAUAUUGGGAAGAACACCGAUGGCGAAGGCAGCCAUCUGGACCGACACUGACGCUGAGGCGCGAAAGCUAGGGGAGCGAACGGG